UCAGAAUCAAAGAAUUAGGGUUCAGAGAAAUUGGGAAUUUCUUCAAGGGUGGUUACCCCUCUCUGCUUGCCCAAUGAUUUCUCCAUUUUUCAAAACAAACAGCCCUUAUAAUACACGAAGCAAAACAAAGAAAAUAAUUACAGUUUCGAUUUCAUUAAAAUCAACUUAUAUAGCAUUAUUUAAUUCGUUUGGCUAUCUUCAAGUCAAGUACUUGUUUGGGAGUUUUCUAGGUAUUUUUUCUGCUAAUUUCCCUUCGAGGAAGUUGAGCUGUUGAAUAGAAAAGGGGCUGUGAUGAUUUUUCUCUUCUUUUUUUCCGGAGCUAAUGGGUCAGGUAUUGAGAUUAACCGACUCGUAUCUUGGCUUGGCAAUUUUGGAUGGCUCUGUGAUUAGGGAUUCUUUAUCAGAUGCAACCAGUGAAUUGCAGCCAUGGCAAGGUCAAUUUCUCUUUGCCUGCUCACAGAUCUGAGCCUCGAUUUAAGUUUUCUGUUUUUAUUUUUCAUUGUUGUGACUUUUUUGCACAUUUUUGGUUUACAGAAAUUCCUUG
Molecule: long non-coding RNA, 544 nt
Filed under: Olea europaea subsp. europaea
Lineage: Eukaryota; Viridiplantae; Streptophyta; Magnoliopsida; Lamiales; Oleaceae
Source: RNAcentral